RNAcentral lists this ribosomal RNA (447 nucleotides) under uncultured bacterium. RNAcentral's name for it is "bacterial SSU rRNA". It matches the Rfam family "Bacterial small subunit ribosomal RNA", at positions 355 to 825 of the family's 1533-position model. The record is from RNAcentral.
UCGGGAAUUUUGGGCAAUGGGCGAAAGCCUGACCCAGCAACGCCGCGUGAAGGAUGAAGUAUUUCGGUAUGUAAACUUCGAAAGAAUAGGAAGAAUAAAUGACGGUACUAUUUAUAAGGUCCGGCUAACUACGUGCCAGCAGCCGCGGUAAUACGUAGGGACCAAGCGUUGUUCGGAAUUACUGGGCGUAAAGGGCUCGUAGGUGGCCAACUAAGUCACACGUGAAAUCCCUCGGCUUAACCGGGGAACUGCGUGUGAUACUGGAUGGCUUGAGUUUGGGAGAGGGAUGCGGAAUUCCAGGUGUAGCGGUGAAAUGCGUAGAUAUCUGGAGGAACACCGGUGGCGAAGGCGGCAUCCUGGACCAAUACUGACACUGAGGAGCGAAAGCCAGGGGAGCAAACGGGAUUAGAUACCCCAGUAGUCCCUGAGCGGGCUGGCAAGGCGCAU